ACAGAGGGGGCAAGCGUUGCUCGGAAUUACUGGGCGUAAAGGGCGCGUAGGCGGGAUGGCAAGUCGGUCGUGAAAUCCCUCGGCUCAACCGAGGAACGUCGAUCGAUACUGCUGUUCUUGAGGAUUGCAGAGGAGACUGGAAUUCCCGGUGUAGCGGUGAAAUGUGUAGAGAUCGGGAGGAACACCGGUGGCGAAGGCGAGUCUCUGGGAUGAUGCUGACGCUGAGGCGCGAAAGCCAGGGGAGCAAACGGGA
This 253-nucleotide ribosomal RNA is filed under the name uncultured prokaryote. Its description in RNAcentral is "partial 16S ribosomal RNA". It matches the Rfam family "Bacterial small subunit ribosomal RNA", at positions 525 to 777 of the family's 1533-position model. The record is from RNAcentral.